AUGGAUGAACUUAUGAAGAUGUUUGCUCCUAAAAAUACUCCUGUUGAUCCCAAUGAUAUGCCUUUGUCUACCUUGCUUGAGAAUAAUAAUGAAUCUAUGGAUGUGAAUUUUGUUGGUAGGAAUAGUUUUGGAAACAACGCGUAUAGAGGGAAUUUUAAUCCUAGGCCUUAUCCUAGUAAUCCUUCUAAUAAUUAUGGAAAUUCCUACAACAACUCUUAUGGAAAUUUUAAUAAGAUGCCCUCUGAAUUUGAGAGUAGUGUUAAAGAGUUUAUGAAUUCACAAAAGAAUUUUAAUGCUUUACUUGAAGAGAAAUUGCUUAAAGUUGAUGAUUUGGCUAGGACGUUGAUAUAA
Molecule: ribosomal RNA, 351 nt
Filed under: Triticum aestivum (bread wheat)
Lineage: Eukaryota; Viridiplantae; Streptophyta; Magnoliopsida; Poales; Poaceae
Description: partial small subunit ribosomal RNA
Source: RNAcentral